This 118-nucleotide ribosomal RNA is filed under the name Diaphorina citri (Asian citrus psyllid). Lineage: Eukaryota; Metazoa; Arthropoda; Insecta; Hemiptera; Psyllidae. The record is from RNAcentral.
UGCUCCAAUUUUUUUAUGUCUGGCCUAACAGUUCCCAUUGGAUCACUGAAGUUAAACAACAUUGCGCUUGAUUGGUAUCCGGAUGGGUGACCAUCUGGGCAAUCUCGUUCUGCUGGAU